Molecule: ribosomal RNA, 501 nt
Filed under: uncultured bacterium
Lineage: Bacteria
Description: partial 16S ribosomal RNA
Rfam family: Bacterial small subunit ribosomal RNA
Source: RNAcentral
AUUGAACGCUGGCGGCAGGCUUAACACAUGCAAGUCGAGCGGGGAAAGGUAGCUUGCUACUUGACCUAGCGGCGGACGGGUGAGUAAUGCUUAGGAAUCUGCCUAUUAGUGGGGGACAACAUCUCGAAGGGGAUGCUAAUACCGCAUACGUCCUACGGGAGAAAGCAGGGGACCUUCGGGCCUUGCGCUAAUAGAUGAGCCUAAGUCGGAUUAGCUAGUUGGUGGGGUAAAGGCCUACCAAGGCGACGAUCUGUAGCGGGUAUGAGAGGAUGAUCCGCCACACUGGGACUGAGACACAGCCCAGACUCCUACGGGAGGCAGCAGUGGGGAAUAUUGGACAAUGGGGGGAACCCUGAUCCAGCCAUGCCGCGUGUGUGAAGAAGGCCUUUUGGUUGUAAAGCACUUUAAGCGAGGAGGAGGCUACCGAGAUUAAUACUCUUGGAUAGUGGACGUUACUCGCAGAAUAAGAACCGGCUAACUCUGUGCCAGCCGCCGCGGUAA